This 291-nucleotide ribosomal RNA is filed under the name uncultured bacterium. Its description in RNAcentral is "partial 16S ribosomal RNA". It matches the Rfam family "Bacterial small subunit ribosomal RNA", at positions 333 to 615 of the family's 1533-position model. The record is from RNAcentral.
CGCCUCCUACGGGAGGCAGCAGUAGGAAAUCUUCCACAAUGGACGAAAGUCUGAUGGAGCAACGCCGCGUGAGUGAAGAAGGGUUUCGGCUCGUAAAGCUCUGUUGGUAGUGAAGAAAGAUAGAGGUAGUAACUGGCCUUUAUUUGACGGUAAUUACUUAGAAAGUCACGGCUAACUACGUGCCAGCAGCCGCGGUAAUACGUAGGUGGCAAGCGUUGUCCGGAUUUAUUGGGCGUAAAGCGAGUGCAGGCGGGUUAAUAAGUCUGAUGUGAAAACCUUCGGCUCAAACCG